This 725-nucleotide ribosomal RNA is filed under the name uncultured bacterium. RNAcentral describes it as "bacterial SSU rRNA". It matches the Rfam family "Bacterial small subunit ribosomal RNA", at positions 771 to 1501 of the family's 1533-position model. The record is from RNAcentral.
AACAGGAUUAGAUACCCUGGUAGUCCACGCCCUAAACGAUGUCUACUAGUUGUCGGGUUUUAAUUAACUUGGUAACGCAGCUAACGCGUGAAGUAGACCGCCUGGGGAGUACGGUCGCAAGAUUAAAACUCAAAGGAAUUGACGGGGACCCGCACAAGCGGUGGAUGAUGUGGAUUAAUUCGAUGCAACGCGAAAAACCUUACCUACCCUUGACAUGUCAGGAACCUCGGAGAGAUCUGAGGGUGCUCGAAAGAGAGCCUGAGCACAGGUGCUGCAUGGCUGUCGUCAGCUCGUGUCGUGAGAUGUUGGGUUAAGUCCCGCAACGAGCGCAACCCUUGUCAUUAGUUGCUACGAAAGGGCACUCUAAUGAGACUGCCGGUGACAAACCGGAGGAAGGUGGGGAUGACGUCAAGUCCUCAUGGCCCUUAUGGGUAGGGCUUCACACGUCAUACAAUGGUACAUACAGAGGGCCGCCAACCCGCGAGGGGGAGCUAAUCCCAGAAAGUGUAUCGUAGUCCGGAUUGUAGUCUGCAACUCGACUACAUGAAGUUGGAAUCGCUAGUAAUCGCGGAUCAGCAUGUCGCGGUGAGUACGUUCCCGGGUCUUGUACACACCGCCCGUCACACCAUGGGAGCGGGUUUUACCAGAAGUAGGUAGCUUAACCGUAAGGAGUGCGCUUACCACGGUAGGAUUCGUGACUGGGGUGAAGUCGUAACAAGGUAACC